ACAGAGGGGGCAAGCGUUAUUCGGAAUUAUUGGGCGUAAAGCGCACGUAGGCGGCUUUGUAAGUUAGAGGUGAAAGCCCAGGGCUCAACCCUGGAAUUGCCUUUAAGACUGCAUCGCUCGAAUCAUGGAGAGGUGAGUGGAAUUCCGAGUGUAGAGGUGAAAUUCGUAGAUAUUCGGAAGAACACCAGUGGCGAAGGCGACUCACUGGACAUGUAUUGACGCUGAGGUGCGAAAGCGUGGGGAGCAAACAGGA
This 253-nucleotide ribosomal RNA is filed under the name uncultured prokaryote. RNAcentral describes it as "partial 16S ribosomal RNA". It matches the Rfam family "Bacterial small subunit ribosomal RNA", at positions 525 to 777 of the family's 1533-position model. The record is from RNAcentral.